RNAcentral lists this ribosomal RNA (235 nucleotides) under uncultured bacterium. RNAcentral describes it as "partial 16S ribosomal RNA". It matches the Rfam family "Bacterial small subunit ribosomal RNA", at positions 96 to 334 of the family's 1533-position model. The record is from RNAcentral.
CGGCGGACGGGUGAGUAAUGUAUGGGGAUCUGCCUGAUGGCGGGGGAUAACUACUGGAAACGGUAGCUAAUACCGCAUAAUGUCUACGGACCAAAGCGGGGGACCUCCGGGCCUCGCGCCAUCAGAUGAACCCAUAUGGGAUUAGCUAGUAGGUAAGGUAACGGCUUACCUAGGCGACGAUCCCUAGCUGGUCUGAGAGGAUGAUCGGCCACACUGGGACUGAGACACGGCCCAG